Molecule: ribosomal RNA, 314 nt
Filed under: uncultured eukaryote
Lineage: Eukaryota
Description: partial 18S ribosomal RNA
Rfam family: Eukaryotic small subunit ribosomal RNA
Source: RNAcentral
CCCUUAGAUGUUCUGGGCCGCACGCGUGCUACACUGAGUAAAUCAAUGGGUAAGGGAACACGAAAGUGCAACCUAAUCUUGAAAUUUGCUCGUGAUGGGGAUCGACGGUUGCAAUUUUCCGUCGUGAACGAGGAAUACCUUGUAGGCGCGUGUCAUCAUCACGCGCCGAAUACGUCCCUGCCCUUUGUACACACCGCCCGUCGCUCCUACCGAUGGGUGAUCCGGUGAAUGAUUCGGACUUCAGCGGCUCCCCUGGGGUGCGCCGGAGAAAGUUUUGUGAACCUUAUCACUUGGAGGAAGGAGAAGUCGUAACA